GUGGGGAAUUUUGGACAAUGGGGGCAACCCUGAUCCAACCAUGCCGCGUGCGGGAAGAAGGCCUUCGGGUUGUAAACCGCUUUUGUCAGGGAAGAAAUCCUUUGGGUUAAUACCUCGGAGGGAUGACGGUACCUGAAGAAUAAGCACCGGCUAACUACGUGCCAGCAGCCGCGGUAAUACGUAGGGUGCGAGCGUUAAUCGGAAUUACUGGGCGUAAAGCGUGCGCAGGCGGUUUUGUAAGAUCGAUGUGAAAUCCCCGGGCUCAACCUGGGAACUGCAUUGGUGACUGCAAGGCUGGAGUGCGGCAGAGGGGGAUGGAAUUCCGCGUGUAGCAGUGAAAUGCGUAGAUAUGCGGAGGAACACCGAUGGCGAAGGCAAUCCCCUGGGCCUGCACUGACGCUCAUGCACGAAAGCGUGGGGAGCAAACAGGAUUAGAAACCCGUGUAGUCC
RNAcentral lists this ribosomal RNA (450 nucleotides) under uncultured bacterium. RNAcentral's name for it is "partial 16S ribosomal RNA". It matches the Rfam family "Bacterial small subunit ribosomal RNA", at positions 354 to 796 of the family's 1533-position model. The record is from RNAcentral.